RNAcentral lists this signal recognition particle RNA (266 nucleotides) under Caldisericota bacterium. Its description in RNAcentral is "Caldiserica bacterium signal recognition particle sRNA large type". It matches the Rfam family "Bacterial large signal recognition particle RNA". Rfam says of the family: The signal recognition particle (SRP) is a universally conserved ribonucleoprotein involved in the co-translational targeting of proteins to membranes. Archaeal SRP consists of a 7S RNA and homologues of the eukaryotic SRP19 and SRP54 proteins. In most bacteria, the SRP consists of a 4.5S RNA and the Ffh protein (a homologue of the eukaryotic SRP54 protein). The record is from RNAcentral. Lineage: Bacteria; Pseudomonadati; Caldisericota.
CUGUGCUAAAGUGGGGAGCUAGCAGUGCCCUGUAACCCGGAAUCUGCUAUACCGGGGCUGAAAACUUGCACGAGGCUUAUCUUUUGUUAGGCUGGCGGCAGUUAAAAAGUGUUGAAGGUGGGACCCUACGCAAUGUGAACCCUUGAACCCCGUGAGAUCUGGAAAGAAGCAGCGGUAAGAGGAUGUAAUAUGUGCCGUAGGAACAUCUCACUGGAGCUUUUUGCUGCCAUACCGCUAGGAGAAGGUAGUCGGAUGCAAGUGCAUAG